AUUCUAAUAGCUUAUGUAGAGCGUGAUAUUGAAGAUAUCAAUGAGAUUUUUUAUCUUAGGAUA
RNAcentral lists this transfer RNA (63 nucleotides) under Coleoptera sp. 1 KM-2017. Its description in RNAcentral is "tRNA-Phe". The record is from RNAcentral. Lineage: Eukaryota; Metazoa; Arthropoda; Insecta; Coleoptera.